UGCAUUGCUGUAGAUGCACUUCAGAUGGGCUAUUGAUCCCACCACCUUUUUGAGGGGUGAUACCUUAAUUCCUACAUGACUGUUCUCAGCACUCCCACCAUUUCUAACUCAUCAAUAACCCUUGCAUCUUUGCUGCUAAGGAUCCUUUAAAAGGAAAAUUUAUUAUCCGAGUGUUUUUUAACUGUGUUCUCCAGUCCCGUGCACUUGAUUGUCAUAAUCUAGAGCCAUACCAGUCUCUGGGUAGCAGUUUUUUAGCAAUUCAGAAGAUUUAUGUGUCUGUUGCUGUGCUGAAUGCCAUUCUUUGAGCAUUCGUCUGUCAUGAUUGAUGUUUGUCAUAAUGUACUGCACAAACAUCUUUAAAAACACUGGAUGCUGCUACUUUCCAGAGCUGCUUAAAAGAAUUGUCAUGUCUCAGCUAAAAUGGAAAAGAAUUGCUCAUCUGAGGCAAAGAGCUCUCACAGAGCUUGUCUUCAAAAUUGGUAAUCAGAAGUGACUGCUCUUCAGGAGAUCAGAGCUUCCAAUGUAUCAUGCUGGGCUUCUAUUCUACCAGAGGAUGAAAUGACUAACGAUGCUACUAGGAAUUAGUGAUGCAAGAGGUCAAGUGUGUUAGAAUUUUCGCAGAAUCAACUGACUGGGUUCUUUUCAUUCAAAGAUAUGAUCUCCAUGGUCUCCUCCCACUAUUAAAUGAGAAAAAGGAAUCUAAUAGGACUCAGAUCCCAUGAAAAAGAAAUCCCUCUAUGAUACAGGAGUGUGAGAAAAGAUGAAGGACCACUUGUGUAGAUGGAUUUAAAGGACAGAUGUAAGUCAUAAGGAAUGGUUAUACUACUGUUACUACUAACAGAGUUCUGAAACACAGAAUAUUUCUAGUGUGUCACCAUUAACAGAGAACAAAGACGGUCUUUGGUGAUUUCUUCCUCUCUUCCUUUC
This is a long non-coding RNA of Manacus vitellinus (golden-collared manakin), 927 nucleotides long. RefSeq lists it as uncharacterized. The transcript is spliced from 4 exons. The record is from RefSeq and is a predicted model, not a curated record. Lineage: Eukaryota; Metazoa; Chordata; Aves; Passeriformes; Pipridae.